UUCGGAUAUUUCAACUAUCUUCAAGCAGGUCUUUUGUGGAGACAAUAGUUGAGAUUUUUCUUCUAAUUUUGGCCCCCAGAUUAUGUGCCUAAUGAAGAGGAAGGAUCAAGGUCUCCACAAGCACGCCAUAGCAAUCAGGUUGAAGGUGAUGACAACGAGAUGGAAGUAAGGAGACAUAACAUUUAUAUGUCAAUUUGCCGACGAAAUUAGGAAUUAUCUAAUAUGUAGGAAGUUUUAUUUUUAUUGUCUUAAUUGUAAUUUAUUGUAUUUUUAUUGCAAUGACAUUUUCUUGCUCCA
This is a non-coding RNA of Camellia sinensis, 297 nucleotides long. The record is from RefSeq and is a predicted model, not a curated record. NCBI's taxonomy places the organism in Eukaryota, Viridiplantae, Streptophyta, Magnoliopsida, Ericales, Theaceae.